GACGAACGCUGGCGGCGUGCUUAACACAUGCAAGUCGAACGGAAAGGCCCUGCUUGCCGGGUACUCGAGUGGCGAACGGGUGAGUAACACGUGGGUGAUCUGCCCUGCACUUCGGGAUAAGCCUGGGAAACUGGGUCUAAUACCGGAUAGGAGCCAUUUUUAGUGUGAUGGUUGGAAAGUUUUUUCGGUGUAGGAUGAGCUCGCGGCCUAUCAGCUUGUUGGUGGGGUAAUGGCCUACCAAGGCGGCGACGGGUAGCCGGCCUGAGAGGGUGGACGGCCACAUUGGGACUGAGAGACGGCCCAGACUCCUACGGGAGGCAGCAGUGGGGAAGAUUGCACAAUGGGCGCAAGCCUGAUGCAGCGACGCCGCGGGGGGGAGGACGGCCUUCGGGUUGUAAACUCCUUUCGCUAGGGACGAAGCUUUUUGUGACGGUACCUAGAUAAGAAGCACCGGCUAACUACGUG
RNAcentral lists this ribosomal RNA (465 nucleotides) under uncultured bacterium. RNAcentral describes it as "partial 16S ribosomal RNA". It matches the Rfam family "Bacterial small subunit ribosomal RNA", at positions 28 to 507 of the family's 1533-position model. The record is from RNAcentral.